AGGCCAGGGGAUGGAUGUAGGCAGACUUGGGAGCUGGAAAGGACAAGGAAGCAGAUUCCCCCCUGGAGCCUCCAGAAGGGACCUAGUCCUGGGGACCUAUUUGAGACUUCUAACCUCCCACACAUUCAGGUAAUAAAUCUAUGUUUGUUCUAAGCCGCUAAGUGCAUGGUGUUUUGCUACAGCAAUUACGCAGCAAUUGGAAACUAAUGCAGAAUGUAUUUUUUCUUUAUUUUUAAAACGACGCUCGUAAACAACUCCAAAUAGCUUUUGUUGUUAUGAGUUAGAGCUGCUGCUGUUUGCCAUAUUAGAAAUUCAGACUAAGAAUGUAUUAAGUAAUUAAUGUAUUUAAAAUAGCAACACUGGGGCGCCUGGGUGGCUCAGUCGGUUAAGCAGCCAACUUCGGCUCAGGUCAUGAUCUCGCAGUCCGUGAGUUUGAGCCCCGCAUCAGGCUCUGUGCUGACAGCUCAGAGCCUGGAGCCUGUUUCAGAUUCUGUGUCUCCCUUUCUCUGACCCUCCCCCAUUCAUGCUUUGUCUCUCUCUGUCUCAAAAAUAAACGUUAAAAAAAUUUUUUUUAAAUAAAAAAAUUUAAAAAUUAAAUAAAAUAGCAACACUAAGCUCACUGCAUGUUAACCAAAAAAAAAACGCAUACUUUAUAAGAAAUAGCUGUAUUUUCAAAAACAAAAAAUGAAGAGUGCUGUUAGUCUAUAUUUUUACUCAUUUUUUUUAACGGUUAGCUUAAUAGAAGACAGUUAGAUUCUAAUAACUGCUUCUACAUUCCAUCUGUCAUGAUGUCACAUGUACGGAAGCCUCUGGAAAACUAAUGAGUGAAAAGGGCAAAUAUGUUCGUAUUAUCAUGAGAACCAUUUUGACCUCACAAACCCCCUGACAGAUUCCCCAGGGUCUCCAGACCACAACAGGAGGAUCCCCGAUGCAGAGAACUGUGUGUCCCCACAGCAAUUCAAUAUGCUGCCCAUCAUGUCUGUUCUCCAGAAGGGUGGAGAUUUUCCAGCGUUUGGGUCAGCUAAUGAAGGAGACAUCUUUGCUUGAUCCCUUGCAGGCAUGAUACCCAACUGCCUGGUGACAGCAACCUUAGUCCCCAAUACCAAGUGGGUACUUACUAAAUAUUUAUGGGAUGUGUCAGUAAAUGAAUCACUCCCUCCC
This 1161-nucleotide long non-coding RNA is filed under the name Felis catus (domestic cat). RNAcentral's name for it is "lncRNA (ENSFCAG00000051321.1)". Lineage: Eukaryota; Metazoa; Chordata; Mammalia; Carnivora; Felidae. The record is from RNAcentral.